Long non-coding RNA from Arabidopsis lyrata subsp. lyrata, 707 nucleotides. RefSeq lists it as uncharacterized. Lineage: Eukaryota; Viridiplantae; Streptophyta; Magnoliopsida; Brassicales; Brassicaceae. The record is from RefSeq and is a predicted model, not a curated record. The transcript has 2 exons.
CCGCUGUGCUCUGAUGGUGCUUGUGAUCAUUAUAGCAUUUCCCUGGAACUAGCUAUGCCCCGAACGCUUAAACUGCACACAAUUCUAUCAGUUGGACAGUGCAGACAGAGAGAAAACAGAAUUAGCUCUUCCUAGCAUCACAAGCCCGAGCAACAUUGAACUAACACCUGCCGAUGUUCCUGGGAUGUGAAUUCAGGGAAGGAAGAAUGAGGUGAAGCAGCAAAUAGCCUAACAACAUUCCAGAAGAGAAAGGCAUGACUAGUUGCAGCACGAUGGGCUAACAAUCACUCACUUCUCGAUAUUCCUGCUCAUCAUUUUCCAGUCGCGUUAUGCUAUUCAACAGAGGAAGACUGAGAAUACUGCUCAUUUAAACAGCUAUGCAAUGGAACAUUCUGGGCAAAGAUAAGUCCCCAAGGUAUAGCAGUAGCAGAGAUAAUGAUUGGAGGGAAAAAACUCACCUAUGCAAUCAAAAAUCAUCAAAAGAGCCACUUCACAGUGUGUAGAGAGUGCCCGAGAAAGGAUAUCUCUAUUAGUAUUACAGGUUUGAAAGAAAAGGCCAAAUGAUGAUGAUUUUAUUGCCGUUGUUAACUUCUUUCUUUAUGGUGUGUAGGCAUAGUUAGGAUCGAGACCCACUUCAAUUCGGCCCAAAAUAUCGGCGGUAAAAAGGAUUCUUACGGCCCAAUAAAUUUUUUCAUUGACGUUUCUUU